GCCUGGAUGGCUCAGUCGGUUGGACAUCUGACUUUGACUCAGGUCAUGAUCUCAUGGUUCGUGAGUUCAAGCCCCACAUCAGGCU
Molecule: non-coding RNA, 85 nt
Organism: Felis catus (domestic cat)
Lineage: Eukaryota; Metazoa; Chordata; Mammalia; Carnivora; Felidae
Source: Rfam